UACGUAGGGGACGAGCGUUGUCCGGAAUUAUUGGGCGUAAAGAGCGUGUAGGCGGCUCUGCAAGUCCUGCGUGAAAUCUCGAGGCUCAACCUCGAGCGGUCGUGGGAAACUGGAGGGCUAGAGUGCGGGAGAGGGAAGUGGAAUUCCAGGUGUAGCGGUGAAAUGCGCAGAUAUCUGGAGGAAUACCGGUGGCGAAGGCGGCAUCCUGGACCGGCAUUGACGCUGAGGAGCGAAAGCUAGGGGAGCAAACGGG
Molecule: ribosomal RNA, 253 nt
Filed under: uncultured bacterium
Lineage: Bacteria
Description: partial 16S ribosomal RNA
Rfam family: Bacterial small subunit ribosomal RNA
Source: RNAcentral